AAAGGGGAGGAGCAGGAUGGGGACUUCCAGCCAGUGUUAAGGGGGUCUCAAAAGUCCUGCAGUCUCACUCCAGUUCAGCUCAGACCCUGGCUUUGAGGCACCACUGGGAGUUUCAAGAAAGACAAAAAUCAAGAUGCCAGAGCCUGCAAAGAAAACAGCUUCUGCUUUCACCAAGAAGCCAAAGACAACAGAGGUAGUGGAAGGAGACACAGCUGUGUUUGAAGCAGAGACUGAAAAGACUGGCAUCAAAGUGAAGUGGCAGCGAGCUGGAGCAGAAAUGUUUGAAAGUGAGAAGUAUAUCAUCAAGGCUGAGGGGAACAAGCAUUCACUGACUAUCAAUAACACUGGAAGAGAGGAUGAUGCGACAUAUGCUGUAAUUGCAGGGAGUUCCAAAGUCAAAUUUGACCUCAAGGUCAAAGAGCCAGAAAAGUCUGAGGCAGUUCUUCCUACUGAAGCGGUUUGUACCCCAAUUGUUUCAGAGUUACCUACACCAGCAGAGACACAACCAACAGAAUGCAGCAAGAGUUCUGAAGUUCCAGCUCCUGAGGCUCAGCCAGAGCUGCCUCUGGACCCUGUUGGUCUCUUCGUGACACGGCCUCGGGAUGGAGAAGUGACUGUCGGUGGAAACAUCACAUUCACUUGCAAAGUGGCAAGUGCCAGCAUGUUGAAGAAACCAUCAGUGAAAUGGUUCAAGGGAAAGUGGAUGGACCUGGGAAGCAAAGUGGGGAAACAUCUCCAGCUGCAUGACAGCUAUGACCGAAACAACAAGGUUUACAUCUAUGAAAUGCACAUUAUCCAAGCGAAAAUGACUUACGCAGGGGGUUAUAGAUGUGAGGUGUCUACAAAGGACAAAUUUGAUAGCUGUAACUUCAGCCUGAUUGUCAAUGAAGCACCAGCAACAGGAGACAUGGAUAUCCGUACUGCAUUUCGACGAACGAGCCUGGUGGGAGGAGGAAGACGGAUGCCUGCAGCCUGUCUCAGUGCAGAGGGACACGAAGACGGUGCAGAGCUGGAUUUUAGUGCCUUAUUGAAAAAGAGAGACAGCUUCUUGCGCUCAGUAAAUCGUGAACCAAAAACUGAAUCACAACCUGAUGUUGAUGUCUGGGACAUCCUGCGGAGAGCUCCUCCUUCUGAGUAUGAGAAAAUUGCUUUCCAGUAUGGUAUCACAGACCUACGGGGGAUGCUGAAACGCCUCAAACGCAUAAAAAAGGAGGAGAAGAAAAGUACAGCAUUCCUCCAGAAACUGGAUCCUGCUUACCAAGUGGACAAAGGACAGAAGAUCAAGUUAAUGGUUGAACUUGCCAACCCAGAUGCUGAAGUGAAAUGGUUGAAGAAUGGACAGGAGAUCCAAGUGAGCGGCAGCAAAUAUAUUUUUGAGGCUGUUGGGAAUAAGAGGAUCCUGACUAUCAAUCACUGCUCCCUAGCUGAUGAUGCAGCAUAUCAGUGUGUGGUUGAUGAGGAGAAAAGCUUCACAGAACUAUUUGUAAAAGAGCCUCCAAUCCUGAUCAGCCACCCAUUGGAGGACCAGGUGGUGAUGGUUGGAGAGAGAGUGGAGUUCGAGUGUGAAGUGUCUGAGGAAGGGGCUGCUGUGAAAUGGGAAAAGGAUGGAAUUGAGCUGAAACGGGAAGAGACAUUCAAGUACCGGUUCAAGAAGGAUGGGAAAAAGCAUUACCUGAUCAUUAAUGAGUCAACCAAGGAGGACAGUGGGCACUACACCGUGAAGACCAAUGGUGGGGAGUCAGUAGCUGAACUGAUCAUACAAGAGAAGAAGCUGGAAGUGUACCAGAGUAUCGCAGACCUGACAGUGAGGGCACGGGACCAGGCAGUCUUCAAGUGCGAAGUCUCCGAUGAGAAUGUGAAAGGAAUCUGGUUGAAAAAUGGGAAGGAGGUGAUCCCAGAUGAGAGGAUAAAGAUCUCUCAUAUUGGCAGAAUCCAUAAGCUAACUAUUGAUGAUGUAACCCCAGAAGAUGAGGCCGACUAUUCUUUUGUACCUGAAGGAUUUGCUUACAACCUUUCUGCCAAACUCAGAUUUUUGGAGAUCAAGAUUGAUUUUGUGCCAAGACAAGAACCCCCCAAAAUCCAUCUAGACUUCAUGGGUCAAGCAGCCCCUGACACUAUUGUUGUGGUGGCUGGGAACAAACUUAGAUUGGACGUUCCCAUAUCGGGAGAUCCAAUACCCACUGUCAUCUGGCAGAAAGUAAACAAGAAUAGCUGCCAUGUGCUAAGCAAUGCUGAUUCCAUGGAUUCCCCAGACUCCAGCAGUGAUUUAAGUAAUGAGAGCAAGCUUCUCUCUGAAACUGAAGGUAGAGUGCGUGUAGAGAUGCAUGAAGACCACUGUAUCUUCAUCAUUGAAGGAGCAGAGAAAUCAGAUGAGGGGGUUUAUAGAGUUACAGUAAAGAACCCAGCAGGAGAAGAUAAGGCUGAUAUCACAGUAAAGGUUAUUGAUGUUCCUGAUCCUCCAGAGGCUCCCAAGAUCGUCAACAUUGGAGAGGAUUACUGCACAGUGCAGUGGCAACCCCCUAAAUAUGAUGGAGGACAACCAAUACUGGGAUAUAUCUUAGAGAGGAAAAAGAAGAAGAGCUACCGGUGGAUGCGGCUGAACUUUGACCUUUUGAAGGAGCUGUCAUAUGAAGCCAAGCGAAUGAUUGAAGGUGUUGUUUAUGAGAUGCGACUUUAUGCUGUGAAUUCCAUUGGUAUGUCCCGGCCUAGCCCUGCCUCACAGCCCUUCAUGCCAAUUGCUCCCCCAAGUGAACCAACCCACUUUACAGUGGAAGACAUCUCUGACAGCACUGUUACCCUUAAGUGGAGGCCCCCUGAGCGGAUUGGAGCAGGGGGACUAGAUGGCUACCAUGUGGAGUACUGCAAAGAAGGAUCUUCCGAGUGGGUUCCAGCUCUUCAAGGUCUAACUGAGAGAACAUCUGCACUCAUUAAAGAUCUGGUCACCGGGGACAAACUCUACUUCCGUGUCAGGGCUAUAAACCUGGCUGGUGAGAGCGAACCAGCACUAAUCAAAGAGCCUGUUACCAUCCAAGAGAUCCUGCAACGUCCCAAAUUCUGGCUGCCACGCUAUCUACGGCAGACUCUGGUGAAGAAAGUAGGAGAGACAAUCAACAUUGUGAUUCCCUUCCAGGGUAAACCUAGACCCAAAGUCACUUGGACAAAAGAUGGUCAAACACUAGAUGCCAAAGAGGUGGGAAUUCGGAACAGCACCACAGACACUAUCCUGUUCAUUCGAAAGGCUGAGCAUCACCACUCAGGGACAUAUGAAGUGGAAGUUCAGAUAGAAAACAUGAAUGAUAAGGUUGCUAUUACCAUGCAGAUAAUGGACAAACCUGGUCCACCUCAGAAUGUGAAAAUCAUAGAUGUGUGGGGAUUCAACGUCGCUCUGGAGUGGAAACCACCCCAAGAUGAUGGCAAUGCUCAGAUCUCGGGGUACACAAUCCAGAAGGCUGACAAAAAGACAAUGGAAUGGUACACUGUUUUUGACCACUAUCGACGAACCAACUGUGUCGUGUCAGACCUGAUUAUGGGGAAUGAGUAUUAUUUCCGUGUCUUCAGUGAAAAUUUGUGUGGACUGAGUGAAACUGCUGCAACAACUAAAACUCCUGCCUACAUACAAAAGACAGGCACCAUUUAUAAACCACCCAGUUACAAAGAGCAUGACUUCUCUGAAGCCCCCAAAUUCACUCACCCCUUAGUAAGCCGUUCUGUGAUCUCUGGAUACAAUGCUACACUCAGCUGUGCUGUAAGAGGAAGCCCCAAGCCAAAGAUAUUCUGGUACAAGAACAAAGUAGAUCUCUCUGGAGAUGCCAAGUAUCGUAUGUUCAGUAAGCAAGGGGUAUUGACCCUGGAGAUCCGAAAGCCCAGUCCCUUUGAUGGAGGCUUUUACACCUGUAAAGCUGUGAAUGAAUGUGGUGAAGCUGAAACAGAGUGCAGAUUGGAUGUUAGAGCACCUCAGUAAAACUCUAAACCUUAGUUCAUCAGCAAUUCAAGGUGGUGUUGGGAUUGGAAUCUGAAGAGAAGGAAAGAAAAAAAGAAAAAAAUGAAUAACGCUUAUAGUGGUAAUUAGAAGCCCCUGGCUUGGUAUUGCUCUACUUUUACACUGGCAUGAAACGAGAAGGCAGGGAGAGGAAACCCAUCCAGGAAGUGAGGCUUUAUCAAAGAACUACAUCAGUUUCUUCAUAGUAAUACUCAGUGCUCCUGUUCUCCCCUCUAAGAUGUUCCGCUCUUGAUGGAUGGGUAUUUCUGACUAAGCAGAUUGAUUGUACUACACUGUGAAGUACAUCUUCAUAAUAAAGAUACCUGUGC
This is an RNA transcript of Mauremys reevesii (Reeves's turtle), 4308 nucleotides long. It is a transcript of the gene named myosin binding protein C3, with no coding region annotated. The transcript has 36 exons. NCBI's taxonomy places the organism in Eukaryota, Metazoa, Chordata, Testudines, Geoemydidae. The record is from RefSeq and is a predicted model, not a curated record.